GUGGGGAAUAUUGGGCAAUGGAGGAAACUCUGACCCAGCGACGCCGCGUGAGGGAUGAAGGCCUUCGGGUUGUAAACCUCUUUCAGUAGGGAAGAAGCGAAAGUGACGGUACCUACAGAAGAAGCACCGGCUAACUAUGUGCCAGCAGCCGCGGUAAUACAUAGGGUGCAAGCGUUGUCCGGAAUUAUUGGGCGUAAAGAGCUCGUAGGUGGUUCGAUACGUCGGAUGUGAAAAUCAGGGGCUCAACCCCUGACCUGCAUCCGAUACGGUCGAGCUAGAGUUUGGUAGGGGAGACUGGAAUUCCUGGUGUAGCGGUGGAAUGCGCAGAUAUCAGGAGGAACACCGAUGGCGAAGGCAGGUCUCUGGGCCAAUACUGACACUGAGGAGCGAAAGCGUGGGGAGCGAA
This 406-nucleotide ribosomal RNA is filed under the name actinobacterium SCGC AAA278-D19. Its description in RNAcentral is "bacterial SSU rRNA". It matches the Rfam family "Bacterial small subunit ribosomal RNA", at positions 354 to 772 of the family's 1533-position model. Lineage: Bacteria; Bacillati; Actinomycetota; Actinomycetes. The record is from RNAcentral.